This 73-nucleotide transfer RNA is filed under the name Anomaloglossus sp. 'Acari'. RNAcentral describes it as "tRNA-Asn". It matches the Rfam family "tRNA". Rfam says of the family: Transfer RNA (tRNA) molecules are approximately 80 nucleotides in length. Their secondary structure includes four short double-helical elements and three loops (D, anti-codon, and T loops). The record is from RNAcentral. Lineage: Eukaryota; Metazoa; Chordata; Amphibia; Anura; Aromobatidae.
UAGAAUAAAGCUCGCUGGAUAGAGUGUUUAGCUGUUAACUAAAAUAUUACGGGAUCGAGGCCCGUUAUUCUAG